RNAcentral lists this ribosomal RNA (460 nucleotides) under uncultured bacterium. RNAcentral's name for it is "partial 16S ribosomal RNA". It matches the Rfam family "Bacterial small subunit ribosomal RNA", at positions 338 to 795 of the family's 1533-position model. The record is from RNAcentral.
CCUACGGGAGGCAGCAGUGAGGAAUAUUGGUCAAUGGACGAGAGUCUGAACCAGCCAAGUAGCGUGAAGGAUGACUGCCCUAUGGGUUGUAAACUUCUUUUAUAUGGGAAUAAAAUGUUCCACGUGUGGGAUUUUGUAUGUACCAUAUGAAUAAGGAUCGGCUAACUCCGUGACAGCAGCCGCGGUAAUACGGAGGAUCCGAGAGUUAUCCGGAUUUGUUGGGUUUAAAGGGAGCGUAGGUGGAUUGGUAAGUCAGUUGUGAAAGUUUGCGGCUCAACCGUAAAAUUGCAGUUGAAACUGGCAGUCUUGAGUACAGUAGAGGUGGUCGGAAUUCGUGGUGUAGCGGUGAAAUGCUUAGAUAUCACGAAGAACUCCGAGUGCGAAGGCAGUUCACUGGACUGCAACUGACACUGAGGCUCGAAAGUGUGGGUAUCAAACAGGAUUAGAUACCCGUGUAGUC